ACGACCUCAGAGCAGGCGAG
This 20-nucleotide ribosomal RNA is filed under the name Diadegma mollipla. Its description in RNAcentral is "partial 28S ribosomal RNA". Lineage: Eukaryota; Metazoa; Arthropoda; Insecta; Hymenoptera; Ichneumonidae. The record is from RNAcentral. RNAcentral also lists the same sequence under 1 other name.